GUAGUUUAGUGUGGUGUUUGUGCAUUGCGCGGUUUGGUUGCGUUGGUGGUUGGUUGCC
Molecule: transfer RNA, 58 nt
Filed under: Parabreviscolex niepini
Lineage: Eukaryota; Metazoa; Platyhelminthes; Cestoda; Caryophyllidea; Caryophyllaeidae
Description: tRNA-Gln
Source: RNAcentral